RNAcentral lists this ribosomal RNA (377 nucleotides) under uncultured bacterium. RNAcentral describes it as "bacterial SSU rRNA". It matches the Rfam family "Bacterial small subunit ribosomal RNA", at positions 521 to 896 of the family's 1533-position model. The record is from RNAcentral.
UAAGACAGAGGCCCCAAGCGUUAGGCGGAAUCACUGGGCUUAAAGCGUGUGUAGGCGGAUCGUUAAGUGUCUUGUGAAAUCCCACGGCUCACCCGUGGAACUGCUGGGCAUACUGGCGAUCUUGGGCCAACUAGGGGCAGCCGGAACAAGCGGUGGAGCGGUGAAAUGCGUAGAUAUCGCUUGGAACGCCGAAGGUGAAAACAGGCUGCUGGGGUUGCGCCGACGCUGAGACACGAAAGCCAGGGGAGCAAACGGGAUUAGAUACCCCGGUAGUCCUGGCCCUAAACGAUGAAUGCUUGGUGUGGCGGGUAUCGAUCCCUGCCGUGCCGAAGCUAACGCAUUAAGCAUUCCGCCUGGGGAGUACGGUCGCAAGGCUG